UUGGAGGGCAAGUCUGGUGCCAGCAGCCGCGGUAAUUCCAGCUCCAAUAGCGUAUAUUAAAGUUGUUGCAAUUAAAAAGCUCGUAGUUGAAUUUCGGGGUUAGUAGGUUGGUCGUGCCUAUGGUACGCACUGGGUUUACUGAUUCCUCCUUCUUGAAGAACUGUAAUGUCAUUAAUUUGGUGUUGCAGGGAAACAGGACUGUUACUUUGAAAAAAUUACAGUGUUUAAAGCAGGC
This 235-nucleotide ribosomal RNA is filed under the name uncultured Glomus. Its description in RNAcentral is "partial 18S ribosomal RNA". It matches the Rfam family "Eukaryotic small subunit ribosomal RNA", at positions 548 to 785 of the family's 1831-position model. The record is from RNAcentral. Lineage: Eukaryota; Fungi; Glomeromycota; Glomeromycetes; Glomerales; Glomeraceae.